CCAACCUCCCCCACAGUAGCGGAUAGCCCGGCGAAAGUCGGAUUAAUACGCUAUGUGGUGCAGUAUUGGCAUCAUGGCCGCACGAAAGAUUUAUCGCUGUGGGAUGGGGAUGCGUCUGAUUAGCUUGUCGGCGGGGUAACGGCCCACCGAGGCGACGAUCAGUAGGGGUUCUGAGAGGAAGGUCCCCCACAUUGGUACUGAGACACGGACCAAACUCCUACGGGAGGCAGCAGUGAGGAAUAUUGGUCAAUGGCCGGAAGGCUGAACCAGCCAAAAGUAGCGUGCAGGACGACCGGCCCUACGGGUUGUAAACUGUCUUUUAGUAGGGGAAUAAAGUGUGGUACGUGUACCGUUUUGUAUGUACCCUAUGAAUAAGGACCGGCUAAUUCCGUGCCAGCCGCUGC
This 404-nucleotide ribosomal RNA is filed under the name uncultured bacterium. RNAcentral describes it as "bacterial SSU rRNA". It matches the Rfam family "Bacterial small subunit ribosomal RNA", at positions 121 to 518 of the family's 1533-position model. The record is from RNAcentral.